UCUAAAAUUCUCACCAAAUCAGCCGUAGAAAAAGAGGCACAAUUCCAAGUCAAAAUUCCCUUCAAAAAUGCUGCACCGUCCUCUCACAAAUUUGUAUAUAUACAGAGAUUCAUUUACAACCCUACAACCCCUUCAAAGAGAAAAACCACAGAGAGAGAGAGAGCUGAAACAUAUAAACAUGGAAUUUAAAGGAAGGUUUAUUCAUGUUUUUGCAACCAUAAUGUUACUGAUGAUAAUGAGUUCACAGCUGAUGAGUCAUGUCGAUUGCAGAGCCCUUCGGUCGAGGCCAGAAGCCGGGGUUUCCCUCUCUCUUGCUAGUAAGCACUUACCAGAGGAAGUUUCAAGUAGCAGUAGUACACGGAGAUCAGUAAGAGGUUUGGCCUUCACUUUGGCUUCUGGGCCAAGCAGGAAAGGUCCUGGACAUUAAACUUUUGUAUUUAGAUACUCCUGUUUUAUUAACGCAGGGAUUUCAUCAAUUUUCUUGGAAUUCUCUCUCUUUUAAAAAGGGUUAGAAUUAGAUCACAUACUUGUCAUGUAAACACGAGUUCUACUUAUUGAAAUGUCAAUUACAGUAUAUUCUUGAUUUUGUCCAUUCUUAUUUUUUAUUUGUUGAAUUUCACAUAGUUAUA
Molecule: long non-coding RNA, 629 nt
Filed under: Olea europaea subsp. europaea
Lineage: Eukaryota; Viridiplantae; Streptophyta; Magnoliopsida; Lamiales; Oleaceae
Source: RNAcentral